GGGCCCGCACAAGCAGCGGAGCAUGUGGUUUAAUUCGAAGCAACGCGAAGAACCUUACCAGGUCUUGACAUCGAGGCAAAGCCGUAGAGAUACGGUGUUCAGCAAUGAAGCCGAAGACAGGUGGUGCAUGGUUGUCGUCAGCUCGUGUCGUGAGAUGUUGGGUUAAGUCCCGCAACGAGCGCAACCCUUAUUGUCAGUUACUAACGGGUAAAGCCGAGGACUCUGACGAGACUGCCGGGGACAACUCGGAGGAAGGUGGGGACGACGUCAAAUCAUCAUGCCCCUUAUGACCUGGGCUACACACGUGCUACAAUGGUGGUAACAAAGAGUCGCGAGCCCGUAAGGUGGAGCGAAUCUCAUAAAAGCCAUCUCAGUUCGGAUUGUGGGCUGCAACCCGCCCACAUGAAGUUGGAGUUGCUAGUAAUCGCGGAUCAGCAUGCCGCGGUGAAUACGUUCCCGGGCCUUGUACACACCGCCCGUCACACCAUGGGAGUCGGGAGCC
This 502-nucleotide ribosomal RNA is filed under the name uncultured bacterium. RNAcentral describes it as "bacterial SSU rRNA". It matches the Rfam family "Bacterial small subunit ribosomal RNA", at positions 917 to 1419 of the family's 1533-position model. The record is from RNAcentral.